GUAGAUGGAAAUUGUAACAACCUUAGUGUAUGGCCAGUUGGUGCUGUAUCAAAUACUAUAACGGAGUAGUCCAUUGUCUGAACUAAUUUCAACAUUUCAGCAAAGCUCAUAGCCUCAUCAACUCCAGGAAUUGCAUUUGUUAGCUCGGAAAGAAAGCUAUCAACUUCAUCAUUUCCUAUAUCAUCAUUUUCAACUUUUGGAUCCACCUCCAUGGCGAAGAGAUUGGUGAAUCCGUUGACGAGUGUGGGGCUUUUGGUGAAUCGCUGCUGGAAGGCGUCGCUGAGGUUGUGGGCGGGAUCGGUGGAGAUGAUGAGGACGGACUGGCGGACGGAGGCGAGGAGAAUCGAGAGGAUAGAGCUGCAGGUCGUCUUCCCCACCCCACCCUUGCCGCCGACGAACACCCAUUUUAGGGUUUCCUGCUCCAGCAGGUUGCUCACCGUCCCCUCCGGCGGAUCCAUCAGAUCCAUCAGGGGGGUAGCGUGUGGGAUGGGG
RNAcentral lists this unclassified non-coding RNA (492 nucleotides) under Hevea brasiliensis (rubber tree). Lineage: Eukaryota; Viridiplantae; Streptophyta; Magnoliopsida; Malpighiales; Euphorbiaceae. The record is from RNAcentral.